CCACCAGCUCCUCCACCAGGGUCUCCUCCUCCUGAACCAACAGCUCCUCCACCAGAGUCCUCCUCUUCCUCCACAACAACCGUCAGCCAUUUAGAGGCCUGGGUGGCUCUGGAAUAACCCCCCAACCCCUCACCUGGGGUCGGGGGGGAGAACUCGGCCUCUCAACGGUCCCGGUUCUCUCUCUAACUCAGGGUGGCACCCCCUGUCGACUCGUACCCGCAACUACAGGCAGAGUCCUCGCUCCGGGUCCCGGUGGCGUUGCUCCGGGGGAACGUGCAGAAGAAGGCGUUGGCCAGGAGGCAGGCGGCCUGCUCCUGAGACAUCGUCAGCAUCAAGCCGGUGUCCCGGCGGAGCAGCGGCAGGAGCUGGGGACACGUGCGGUGCACAGGGCGCAGCGACGUUACACGCGGCAACGGGUGGCACGGGGUUGCAGAGGAGCAACGGCGCAAUGGUAACACCGAUGCAGAGCACUGAGCCUGCAGCACUGGGAUGUUGGGGUCUGGAUCAAGGAGUUCUGAAAUGCACGUAAACCAGAUUAUUGUUGUACAAGUGAGGUUAAUGCUGCAUCCCUGCAAUUACUUGCUCAUGCAACUGCUGGUGAAAGAACCUCCACUAGAGGGAGGUCUAGAGUGCCGAUCCGGUGGGUAUGUUUUGGCCAACUUUUCCACACUGACCAUUCGUCUUGAAAGAGGUGGGAGUACUCGCCAUUUAGCCCACUGCACGCGACCCACCGAUGGACUGUGGGUGGACAAAAACAGGGAAUUGUAAGAAUCCUGGUCAAUGUUUUCAAGGCCAGGCUGGGAGAUCGAACCGCGACAUUUGAAGUCAAUCGUGACAACCAUUCCACAGUCAUGGCAGCAGGCCUUUUGCAGAAAUCAAAUAAAAUAUUGGAGAGGGCUUCACACAAGAAACAAGAAGAUUUAGUGGUUUGGACGUGGCUCUCCAAUGAGUACAGAGAGGGUACCACAAGUAGCGGUGCAUACUCGGGCGCAAGGAAAUAAAAGCAGAGACAAAGAAUGAGAUAGAUCGAUGUAAUAAAGAAUUGGCAGUGGUGCACCAAGCACGACCCCUUGCUGAGCGCUGCAGCAGCAGCCCCCACCCUCCACUUCUCACCCUGACGCCACACAACCCGUGGGUAGGCGAUGCCCUCUGGUGGACAAGCCGCGGUACAGGCGGCAGCACGAGACGCCAGCAGCGUUGCGCUGCCAGGGUUACUCACCCGAACACCUCCGUACACUUGCACACACCUACACACACCUCUAUACACUUACACACACAUACACACACACCUCUAUACACUUACACACACCUACACACACCUCUAUACACCUCUAUACACACACACACACCUACACACUUACAAAGACAAAGAUCCCCCGUAUAGCCUUAACAGACUGUAGAGGCAAGUGCUGUUAGCGAGCACCUAUGAAGGCCGGAACGGUACACGAGGGGGUGGGUGGCCAGCACCACGCCCGACCGCCUUUGUCUCCCCAGUGGCGAUUUUUACACACCGCACCAGGUACUCAUUUAAGGCUGAGUCGAUCUAGGGGAGGCCCAGGACCGGUUCAGAUAAUCGUCACUGGUGUUAGCUGUGAGCGGGAAUCGAACCCGGGUUGCCAGGUUCAUAGCGCAGCGUGCUAACCGCUACACUACCGCUCCCCACACACACACACCUCUACACACUUACACACCUACACACACACACCUAUACAACAACAACCGCCAUUCGCCACUAAGUGGCGGUGACGUCACCACGACGCUUAUGCCAGGCCAAGUGCACCUUGAGGCCACGUGAAGUGUCGAACGCCCGCUGGCAGGAGGUCACGGGGCAGACCCAGCAGGUGCCACGGGUCGACUGACCGAGAUGACUGGCUGAUGCACCACCUGUGGCCCCCUACCGUACCAACUUGCUGUGCUUUAGCCACCCGGCGCUCCGCUCGUUGUUGUGAGCGUCGCUCCUCUGCCCUCCGUUGUUGUUGGAGGGCGACUGCCUCCAACUGCCCAGUAGCGUCCUUCACGAGCCUCCUCCACUGAGGCCGAUCUUGACACUGCUGGUACCAGUCAUCGGCAAGUCCACUCAGCUCCACGUCCUCCUGUACCACAUCACUCCAUCUCUUCUCUAGCCCGUGCCGCGCCCGUUUAGCCCCCUCGAUUUUAGGCAUGUGGUAGCUGGGCAUACGUGCUACAUGACCCAGCCAACACAGCCUUGCCUGCCGGAGGAGCUCACCGAUGGGACUUUGCCCAGAUCUUUCAAGGAUUUGUGAGCUCCUCACACAAUCCAGCCUGGUUAAACCCAGGAUGGAUUGUAGGCAGGCCAGCCUAAAUGUUUCCAACCGACGAAGUGGCUCCAUUAGGGGGGUCCACGUUUCCCAAGCGUAGAGAAGGGAGGGAAUGACCGUGGCCGAGAAGACCUGAAGCUUCGUGCGGAGGUAGCUUCCACACAGCGUUACGCAACCGAUGAAAAGAAUGCCGCUCGACUGAUUCGGAGUGAGACCUCUGCUGAUAAACUGGAGCCGGUCAUAAGCACACUGCCCAGGUAUGGGAAACUCUCCACUCUCUCCACAACUGCCCCAUCACCGAUUGGGAGUUGUGGGGGUGGAGUGUCUGAUGGUACAAAAUACCCAGGCAGGUGCUUAGUUUUGGUGGGGCUGAUGGUAAGGCCCCACCUCUUAGUGGCACGCUCCAGUUUCAGCAGCAGCGUCUCCAACUCCUCUUCUGAAUGAGCAGCUAUUACCAAAUCAUCAGCAUACAUAACGUGGUCGAUCAGCCUCCCAUUAUAUCUGUACCAAAUGGAAAUUCCCCCGGUACAGCUAUUGAAGGCUUCACGAACUACGCAGUCGAAAUAGAUGUUAAAUAAUGUGGGAGCCUGAGGACAUCCCUGUCGCACCACAAGGUGUACAGGGGAAGGCUCUGAUUCCCGGCCACGUAGUUUUACCCGGGCCCGCUCACCAUCAUGAAGGUCCUUAAUGAUCGUGAGCAGAGGGUCAGGGACUCCGAAAGCACGAAGAACAACCCAGAGCCCAGGCCUACUGAUGGUAUCAUAGGCCUUGACCAGGUCAAUAAAGCAGAGAUGAAGGUCUUGUUGGAAUUCCCUACACCUCUGCUGUAGCAGACGGACAGAAAAUAUGGCAUCUGUACAGGACCGCCCUUUCCUGAAACCGCAUUGGGGUUCUGCAAGCCUCUCCUCAGCGUGCCUAGCAAGGCGAUGUUGAAUAAUCCUUGCCAGAACCUUUCCCGGCACACUUAGGAGUGAGAUGCCUCUGUAGUUGUUACAGUCUGUGCGGUCCCCCUUCUUAAAGAGGGGGACCACCAGGGCAUCCUUCCAAUCCUGCGGAACCCGUCCAGUGGUUCAGACUGUUGUUAUGAUGUCAUAUAGGGCAGUCUGUGCACAAACGCCACCCUCCCUCAGCAUUUCGCUUGGGAGAUCAUCUCUGCCCGGUGCCUUUCCUGGUCUCAGACUCCGGAUCGCCUUCAGUACUUCCUCAACAGAUGGCACCUCAGCCAGCCACUCACAGGGGGUGACCUCCAAUAUUUGAGGCACCGCAGCCUCAGCAGGGUUAUCCCCACUUUGUGCCAUGAUGUUUUCCUGGCUGAGAGAUUUUCCCUCCCCCAGGACCUCACACACACCUCUAUACACUUACACACACACCUCUAUACACUUACAUACACACCUCUAUACACUUACACACACACAUACACACACACCUAUAUACACUUACACACAGCUCUACACACCUACACACACCUACACACACCUCUAUACACUUACACACUCCUACACACACACCUCUACACACUUACACACACCUACACACACACCUCUAUACACUCACACACACCUACACACACACACUUCUAUACACUCACACACACCUACACACACACCUCUAGACACUUACACACACCUACACACACACCUCUAUACACACACCUCUAUACA
This is a long non-coding RNA of Lethenteron reissneri (Far Eastern brook lamprey), 3940 nucleotides long. RefSeq lists it as uncharacterized. The record is from RefSeq and is a predicted model, not a curated record. Lineage: Eukaryota; Metazoa; Chordata; Hyperoartia; Petromyzontiformes; Petromyzontidae.